AAACAGACAGGCACACAUACAGACACACACAGACAGGCACACACACAGACACACACACACAAGACACAUACAUACAGACAGGCACACAUACAUACAGACACACGCACACAUACAUACAGACACACACAUCCAUACAAACAGACAGGUACACAUACAUACAGACACACACAUACAUACAUACAUACAAACAGACAGGUACACAUACACACAUACAGACAGACACAAGACACAUACAUACAAAGACAAGACACACAUACAUACACACACACACAUAUAUACAGACACACACACACACACACACACACAAGACAUACAUACAUAGACACACACAAGACAUACAUACAAAGACACAUACACACAAACAAACACACACAAAAUAUUUUUGUGACUUUCCCUGGGGUCCAGUGGUGGCUCAGGUGCAUGGGAGUCAGAG
Non-coding RNA from Pelobates cultripes (western spadefoot toad), 433 nucleotides. The record is from the annotation of a GenBank genome assembly. NCBI's taxonomy places the organism in Eukaryota, Metazoa, Chordata, Amphibia, Anura, Pelobatidae.